CGUAGGGGGCAAGCGUUGUCCGGAUUUACUGGGCGUAAAGAGCGUGUAGGCGGCCAAACAGGUCCGUUGUGAAAACUGGAGGCUCAACCUCCAGACGUCGACGGAAACCGUGUGGCUAGAGUCCGGAAGAGGAGAGUGGAAUUCCUGGUGUAGCGGUGAAAUGCGCAGAUAUCAGGAAGAACACCAAUGGCGAAGGCAGCUCUCUGGGACGGUACUGACGCUGAGACGCGAAAGCGUGGGGAGCGAACAGGAUUAGAUACCCUGGUAGUCCACGCCGUAAACGAUGGGUGCUAGGUGUGGGAGGUGUCGACUCCUUCCGUGCCGUAGCUAACGCAUUAAGCACCCCGCCUGGGGAGUACGGCCGCAAGGCUA
This 372-nucleotide ribosomal RNA is filed under the name uncultured organism. Its description in RNAcentral is "bacterial SSU rRNA". It matches the Rfam family "Bacterial small subunit ribosomal RNA", at positions 526 to 896 of the family's 1533-position model. The record is from RNAcentral.